ACGUAGGGAGCAAGCGUUAUCCGGAUUUACUGGGUGUAAAGGGCGCGCAGGCGGGUCGGCAAGUUGGAAGUGAAAUCUAUGGGCUUAACCCAUAAACUGCUUUCAAAACUGCUGGUCUUGAGUGAUGGAGAGGCAGGCGGAAUUCCGUGUGUAGCGGUGAAAUGCGUAGAUAUACGGAGGAACACCAGUGGCGAAGGCGGCCUGCUGGACAUUAACUGACGCUGAGGCGCGAAAGCGUGGGGAGCAAACAG
Molecule: ribosomal RNA, 251 nt
Filed under: uncultured bacterium
Lineage: Bacteria
Description: partial 16S ribosomal RNA
Rfam family: Bacterial small subunit ribosomal RNA
Source: RNAcentral